Molecule: ribosomal RNA, 800 nt
Filed under: Leptopelis notatus
Lineage: Eukaryota; Metazoa; Chordata; Amphibia; Anura; Arthroleptidae
Description: partial 16S large subunit ribosomal RNA
Rfam family: Bacterial large subunit ribosomal RNA
Source: RNAcentral
UAAUACCAAAAACAUUUAAACCCCAUUACCGGUAUUGAAUAAUUUUAUAUAAGUAUAAAAAAUACAAUGCUAAAACUAGUAAUAAGAAAUACGCAUUUCUCCUAAAUAUAAGCAUAAAUCAGCAAGAACCACUCCCUGACCAAUAUUGUACAUGAAAGUAAUAACUCAACCAGAAAAUCUUACUUCACUAAGCAUUAACCUAACACAAGAACAUUUAAGGAAAGAUUAAACCAGGGGAAAGGAACUCGGCAAAUCUUAGUCUCGCCUGUUUACCAAAAACAUCGCCUCUUGAUUACCAUAAGAGGUCCAGCCUGCCCAGUGACCUAUUCAACGGCCGCGGUACCCUAACCGUGCGAAGGUAGCAUAAUCACUUGUUUCUUAAAUAGGGACUAGUAUCAACGGCAUCACGAAGACUACACUGUCUCCCCCCUAAAAUCAAUGAAACUGAUCUUCUCGUGAAGAAGCGAGAAUACAAAUAUAAGACGAGAAGACCCCAUGGAGCUUUAAAUGAACCUCAACGCUAUCCUAUACCAUAGAAACUGAGCGCUAAUGAUGUGUAAUUUUCGGUUGGGGUGACCGCGGAAUAAAACAAAACCUCCGCAAUGAAUGUAACAAAACACUAAUAAAAGAACUACAGUUCUAAUAAUCAAUAAAUUGACAUAAUUGAUCCAAACACCUGAUCAAUGAACCAAGUUACCCUGGGGAUAACAGCGCAAUCCAUUUAAAGAGCCCCUAUCAACAAAUGGGUUUACGACCUCGAUGUUGGAUCAGGGUAUCCCAGUGGUGCAGCCGCUACUAAU